GACGAACGCUGGCGGCGUGCUUAACACAUGCAAGUCGAACGGAAAGGCCCUGCUUUUGUGGGGUGCUCGAGUGGCGCACGGGUGAGUAACACGUGAGUAACCUGCCCUUGACUUUGGGAUAACUUCAGGAAACUGGGGCUAAUACCGGAUAGGAGCUCCUGCUGCAUGGUGGGGGUUGGAAAGUUUCGGCGGUUGGGGAUGGACUCGCUGCUUAUCAGCUUGUUGGUGGGGUAGUGGCUUACCAAGGCUUUGACGGGUAGCCGGCCUGAGCGGGUGACCGGCGACAAUGGGACUGAGAUACGGCCCAGACUCGUACGGGACGCAGCAGUGGGGAAUCUUACGCAAUGGGCCGGAGCCUGAGGUAGCAACGCCCGGUGCGUGAUGACGGCCUAUGGGUUAUAAACCGCUGUCGACUGUGACGAAGCGGGCGUGACGGUAAUUGGUAAAGAAGCCCCGGCUAACUACGUG
RNAcentral lists this ribosomal RNA (468 nucleotides) under uncultured bacterium. RNAcentral's name for it is "partial 16S ribosomal RNA". It matches the Rfam family "Bacterial small subunit ribosomal RNA", at positions 28 to 507 of the family's 1533-position model. The record is from RNAcentral.